GCCCCCUGGUCGGCAGCCGCCAUGCGCCCACACCUCCCCCAACUGCCUUCCAGGCCUCAGAGCCUCCCCGCAGCCCUGGCCAGAAAACUCCCAUUGCUCAGGGCUGUGAAGACUGGGGAUGCGUUCCCGUCCCUCUAGGGGCCAUUGUCCCUCCUCGCGGGCCCCACCCCCACCCCCCACGGGCUCUCGCCGUGGGUGUGGGGAGACACGGGCACUCACUUUCCUUUCUGCCUUCUGUGCCCGCAGCGUUUGUCCCGUUUUUGUGGGUCCCUCUCGAGUCCCCCCUCCGCAGAGCCCCACUAGGUCCCUUCUGCCACAAGCUGGCGGUGGUUUUUUUUUUUUUUUUUUAACAAGUCACCUGCGGUUUGCAGGCCUGCUUCCCCCUCAAGUGGCAUUUCCCAGUUGCGGGGAGCAGAGAAUCCUGGAACCUCUUGCAUCAGCCGUUUUGCAUGAGGGGUGGAGUGAGGACGGCCGGAGCCGCUGUCGGUGCGUCCACCUGGCUCCCGGGUUCACUGAGGCGAGGAAACGAACAAACGUGCCCCAGGGGUUUCUUUCCCAACAGAAGGCGCUCCGCCUUCUCCGCGCAGGCUGGCACUUGCAAAGAAGGAAAGGAAGGAAGACAGGGAAAGGAAGAGGGAGGCUGAGGCAGCACCCACGUCUCCGCAAUUCAGCGUCAUUUCACACAGGGUCUGUGAUCCCGAGUCGCCUCUGGGGAUCGCCUCUGAGGCACCGGUCUGUGCUUCAGCAAGGACGCCCUGCACCCCACUGACCGCGGGCCGCUAGCCUGGGAAUGAGGCCCUCCUCAGCAAGUCAGGGGCUGGGGGAGCCUUGAGGAAGCAGCUCAGGUGAGCCGGCCCUGAGAAGGGGUUGAAACCUUCCGUCGGGUCAAAGGAAAGUCGGGUGACCCAGCGAUUCCACUCCCCGGUGUGUACCCCAAAGAGGUGAACGUUGGUAUUCAAACCAGCACUGUUCACAACGGCUAAGAGUGGAAACGACAAUGUCCGUCCAUGGACAAAUGGACCAAAAGACAGCAGACCCGCACCGUGGAACACUACGCAGCCAUGAAGAGGAACAAAGUGCUGGCAUUCGCAGGGAUCCACCUUGAAAACAUGGUCAGUGACACAAGCCAGUCACCGGAGGCCGCAUACUAUCGGAUUCUAUGACGUGUCGAGGACAGGCGGGUCCACUAGACAGGAACUAGACGGUGUUGCCCAGGUUGGGGUAGGGCACGGGCAUGACUGCUGAUGGCUACGGGGCAUGUUUCUCAGAGAGGAGAAUGUUCUGGAACCAGACAGAGGUGGUGGUUGUACACGACUGUGAAUUUACUAAAUGCCACAGAAUCGUACACUUUAAAGUGGUCGGACUUAUGUUGUGCGAAUUUUACCGCAACUAAAAAAAAUAAUCCUUUAGGGGCGCCUGGGUGGCUCAGUCAGUUGAGCAUCCGACUUCGGCUCGGGUCACGAUCUCGCGUCUGUGGGUUCGAGCCCCGCGUCGGGCUCUGUGCUGACUGCUCAGAGCCUGGAGCCUGCUUUGGAUUCUGUGUCUCCCUCUCUCUCUGCCCCUCCCCCAGUUGUGCUCUGUCUCUCUCUCUCUCUCUCUCUCUCUCUCUCUCUCUCAAAAAUAAAUACACAUUAAUAAUAAUAAUAAUAAUAAUC
RNAcentral lists this long non-coding RNA (1655 nucleotides) under Felis catus (domestic cat). RNAcentral describes it as "lncRNA (ENSFCAG00000052924.1)". The stretch from base 1415 to 1498 matches the Rfam family "tRNA". Lineage: Eukaryota; Metazoa; Chordata; Mammalia; Carnivora; Felidae. The record is from RNAcentral.